UACGUAGGGUGCAAGCGUUGUCCGGAAUUACUGGGCGUAAAGCGUGCGCAGGCGGUCUUCCAAGUCAGUGGUGAAAGCCCGGAGCUCAACUCCGGAACUGCCAUUGAAACUGUGAGACUCGAGUACGAGAGAGGUGAGUGGAAUUCCCAGUGUAGAGGUGAAAUUCGUAGAUAUUGGGAAGAACACCGGUGGCGAAGGCGGCUCACUGGCUCGUAACUGACGCUCAGGCACGACAGCGUGGGGAUCAAACAGG
This 253-nucleotide ribosomal RNA is filed under the name uncultured bacterium. Its description in RNAcentral is "partial 16S ribosomal RNA". It matches the Rfam family "Bacterial small subunit ribosomal RNA", at positions 524 to 776 of the family's 1533-position model. The record is from RNAcentral.